AACCAAGAUCCUUGUUAUAACUCAACCAAGAUAAAUACCCUAAUUUAUAUAUACUGGAAUAUUUAACAAGGUGAAUACCCUAACUUCAUAUAUACUGGAAUAUUUAAUAAGGUGAAUACCCUAACUUCAUAUAUACUGGAAUAUUUAACAAGGAGAAUACCCUAAUUUCAUAUAUACUGGAAUCUCCUGAUUAAAAACAAUGAGUAGAAAAAUAAUAGCGGAAGCAUACCUGAAUCCAUUGAAGAAGAAACCUUAUAGGAAGAAAACCCUUUGAGAUGGUCUUCCAAUUCUAGUCACUAGAUUCUGUGUCAAUUUCUCUCUGAGAGGAUUUUUAGAAAUUGGAAUGCGUAGUCGUAGAAUGGGGACCAUAACCCUAUUUAUAAACCGCUAGGGCAGUUUUAAUUUUAUCACAAUUAUAUUUCUGCCCCUUAUAGAAAUAAUAAUUGUCUAAUGGUAUCUACACAAUAAUCUCAUGACAAUUAUACCCUUAAGCUAAUUAAUCAAUUAUUAAUUAGAUCACUAUAUUUAGGCUUAAUUAAAUGAUAGCACACACAUUUUAAUUAUUUACAUGUGUGGCCCAAAUUAUAGAUUAAUUACAAAAAUUAAUC
Molecule: long non-coding RNA, 608 nt
Filed under: Vitis vinifera (wine grape)
Lineage: Eukaryota; Viridiplantae; Streptophyta; Magnoliopsida; Vitales; Vitaceae
Description: long non-coding RNA (VVIN_LNC002176)
Source: RNAcentral